Molecule: long non-coding RNA, 1665 nt
Organism: Megalops cyprinoides (Indo-Pacific tarpon)
Lineage: Eukaryota; Metazoa; Chordata; Actinopteri; Elopiformes; Megalopidae
Exons: 3
Source: RefSeq, a predicted model, not a curated record
AAGCUUACAUUCAGCAUACUGCAGAGCCCUUGGUCAGACGCCAGAGCUCAUCUCUGAAGUGCCUCAUGAACUGCAUAACGACAUAGCGAUGCCUGCCUUCCUCCUUUUUGCCCAGCCGAUGUACCGAGUCAACAAUACUGUCGAUCUUGACUAGAAUCUGUGACACCUUCUCUCUCGUGUUUUCAUUUUCUUGCUCCUUGAGCCUGUGUAGUUUCAAAUUCCAGCGGCGUUUAUCACGCUCAAGCUCCAGGAUUCUCUCAGUUUUGGCAUUCUCUGUCCCGAUUUUUGUAACUUCCUUUUCCAAAGUAAGCGCUUUGGACAGAAUUUUAUUGCUUUGGCUCCACGCCUUUGGCCACUUCUGCAAAUAUGACAGUGUUGUUCUUCAUUUGCUCAUUAAGUUCUUGUAGCAUAUGUAACGGAGUGCCUGCACCUUUAAGCAGAAGCAACAGCAACAGUGCGGUGUCGCAUCAACUGACGUCACUGUAUGCGACGCUAGUCAUGCCAAUUGUUUGCCGUGGGAUUCCUUUAAAAGCCCGGCAGUGCUGCAGCCAGGUAGGCGAUUUGAAUUCUGCUCUAUUUGGCAUUUUGCGUCCUCUGCUCCAGUCGCUAUCGCUGUCGAGCAGUAUUUGGGUGCCCACGUCUCGACCGUGAAGGGCAAAACAUUUGGAAUAUUGCCCCUAUUGUGAUUCGCAGUGUGCCGUAUUUGGGGUACAACUUAAUCGGUGUGUGCGUGUCCUUGUUUAAGUUACCGGCUGCUUUGCUGUGUCAUUACCUCGCAACGGGGGUUCAUCUCUUUUCGUCUUUGGCCGUGGUGGGUCGUUUACCGGAAGUGCACAAGAUCAAGGCUGCAUUCUGUUCACCGGCUGCUGUUUUGUCUUUAAUGAUUCUUUUCGUUUUAUGACUCCUGUGCAGCGAAUGCUCUACCACGGCGGCACCGUACAAGGGUGGCCGGAGCAUCCGAGUGGACUGGGGACAUCCAGCAGGGAGGCUUGACACCUGGUGAUACUGUUUCAGACAUGGACUCGUGAGGCACCACAGAACAAGUUCCAGCUGAGGGUACAGACAGAAUUAGAGACAUUCCUGUUGUGCUGCCAGACAGAUAGGCAACAGAAAAUGCCUCUGAUGUAUGGCCAAGAUAUCUAUUUGCUGGAUGCAACAUACUGGAGCACAUGCUAUUCACUCCUUCUGUUCUCUCUCUCUGUGCACCAGUGUGUAUGACGUGGUUGUUGGUGUCAUGCUGAUUAAGGAAGACAGUACUGUUGCUGUGGUGGAAGUACUGAAGAAAUUCCAGGAGAGAAAUCCCCACUGGCAACCUGCACUUAGUGGACUUAUUCAGCCAGGUUGAGAUCCAGGCUGUCGAAGCUGUCUUUGAAGAUGUGGCUCAUUCUACAUUCAGUGCUUGCUAGAACAGCGAUGAUGCCAAUUUUACCUUCAACCUUUUUGAAUCCUUUUUACUUCAAGAAAACACAUGAAGGCAUCAGAAUGCUGCAAAAUGAAAUAAGUUGUUAAAAGCCAUUGUACUUGUUGUUUGAGAAUUCACGCAUUUGCUUUCUAUUAACUCUUCUAAUGUCUCAUAGCACAUAAUUGAGAAAGAAAAUUUCAUAUCUGUUGUUGGAUACAAAAUUGAUUUUUGGCAUUUGCCUUGUACCUCAGCUGUGCAUUGUG